GUCUAUGGCCAUACUCUCCUGACAUGCCUGAUCUCAUCUGCUCUCUUGGAAGAGCAGUACUGGGCCUGGUUAGUAUUUGAAUGGGAGACCUCCUGGGAAUACCUGGUGCUGAAGACU
RNAcentral lists this ribosomal RNA (117 nucleotides) under Carlito syrichta (Philippine tarsier). The record is from RNAcentral. Lineage: Eukaryota; Metazoa; Chordata; Mammalia; Primates; Tarsiidae.